CUACGGGUGGCAGCAGUGAGGAAUUUUGCGCAAUGGGGGAAACCCUGACGCAGCAACGCCGCGUGAGCGAAGAAGGCCUUCGGGUCGUAAAGCUCUGUCAAGUGAGAAAAAAAUUCUUUGAUGAGCAGUCAAAGGACUUGAUGGUACCACUGGAGGAAGCACCGGCUAACUCCGUGCCAGCAGCCGCGGUAAUACGGAGGGUGCAAGCGUUGUUCGGAAUUACUGGGCGUAAAGAGCGUGUAGGCGGUUUGACAAGUCAGAUGUGAAAGCCCCGGGCUCAACCCGGGAAGUGCAUUUGAACUGUUUCACUAGAGUAUGGGAGAGGAGAUUGGAAUUCCUGGUGUAGAGGUGAAAUUCGUAGAUAUCAGGAGGAACACCCGUGGCGAAGGCGAUUCUCUGGACCAAUACUGACGCUGAGACGCGAAAGCGUGGGGAGCAAACAGGAUUAGAUACCCUCGUAGUC
Molecule: ribosomal RNA, 463 nt
Filed under: uncultured bacterium
Lineage: Bacteria
Description: partial 16S ribosomal RNA
Rfam family: Bacterial small subunit ribosomal RNA
Source: RNAcentral